RNAcentral lists this non-coding RNA (98 nucleotides) under human gut metagenome. RNAcentral describes it as "THF riboswitch". It matches the Rfam family "THF (Tetrahydrofolate) riboswitch aptamer". From Rfam's summary of the family: THF riboswitch presents a pseudoknot that joins P1-P2 and the loop of P3 and two THF binding. The record is from RNAcentral.
CAGAGUAGAAAACUAUGCGUAAAGUGGCCGACAGACGGGGAGUUGCUGUUGGAACGAAAAGCACAAAAAGCUUGCGGUAUAGUUUUCGCAUCCCGCUG